RNAcentral lists this ribosomal RNA (468 nucleotides) under uncultured bacterium. RNAcentral's name for it is "partial 16S ribosomal RNA". It matches the Rfam family "Bacterial small subunit ribosomal RNA", at positions 28 to 507 of the family's 1533-position model. The record is from RNAcentral.
GACGAACGCUGGCGGCGUGCUUAACACAUGCAAGUCGAACGGAAAGGCCCUGCUUUUGUGGGGUGCUCGAGUGGCGAACGGGUGAGUAACACGUGAGUAACCUGCCCUUGACUUUGGGAUAACUUCAGGAAACUGGGGCUAAUACCGGAUAGGAGCUCCUGCUGCAUGGUGGGGGUUGGAAAGUUUCGGCGGUUGGGGAUGGACUCGCGGCUUAUCAGCUUGUUGGUGGGGUAGUGGCUUACCAAGGCUUUGACGGGUAGCCGGCCUGAGAGGGUGACCGGCCACAUUGGGAAUGAGAUACGGCCCAGACUCCUGUGGGAGGCAGCAGUGGGAGAUAUUGUGCAAUGGGCGGAAGCCGGAUGCAGCAACGCCGCGUGCGGGAUGACGGCCUUCGGGUUGUAAGCCGCUUUCGCCUGUAACGAAGCGUGAGUGACGGUAAUGGGUAAAGAAGCACCGGCUAACUACGUG